UGGUUGGUAGUGGGUUAGUGUACCUUGGGUAUCGGGUUCGAGUCCUCAGGAGUGUUUUGAAGGACUAUUUUUGUUUUGUUUUAAAGGUUUAGAUAAUUAUUCUCUUUACUUAGUGUUUAUUAUUAUUACGAUUGUUUUUAUUUUUGGGUUCUUCUUUUUCUCUCUGGACAUUCUCCUCUUCCUAUUUCUUUUGGUUUUCUUUUUGUUUCUUUUUCUUUUCUAUUUUGAAAAUAGAGGUGUUG
This 242-nucleotide long non-coding RNA is filed under the name Gossypium raimondii (Peruvian cotton). Its description in RNAcentral is "long non-coding RNA (GRAI_LNC009086)". Lineage: Eukaryota; Viridiplantae; Streptophyta; Magnoliopsida; Malvales; Malvaceae. The record is from RNAcentral.